CCAGUAAACGGCGGCCGUAACUAUAACGGUCCUAAGGUAGCGAAAUUCCUUGUCAGGUAAGUUCUGACCCGCACGAAUGGCGUAACGAUUUGGGCACUGUCUCAACAGCCCGCCCGGCGAAAUUGUAGUACCGGUGAAGAUGCCGGUUUCCCGCAACUAGACGGAAAGACCCCAUGGAGCUUCACUGUAGCUUGAUAUUGGAUCUCGGUAUUCCAUGUACAGGAUAGGUGGGAGGCUAGGAAGUAAGCGCGCCAGCGUUUAUGGAGCCAACCUUGGGAUACCACUCUUGGGAUAUUGGGAUUCUAACCUGCGACCAUGAAUCUGGUCGGGGGACACUGUCAGGUGGGCAGUUUGACUGGGGCGGUCGCCUCCAAAAGAGUAACGGAGGCGCUCAAAGGUUCGUUCAGCACGGAUGGAAAUCGUGCACUGAGUGUAAACGCAUAAACGAGCCUAACUGCGAGAAUGACGGUUCGAGCAGUAACGAAAGUUGGAGUUAGUGAUCCGGCGGUAUGUGAAUGGAAAUGCCGUCGCUCAACGGAUAAAAGCUACCCUGGGGAUAACAGGCUGAUCUCCCCCAAGAGUCCACAUCGACGGGGAGGUUUGGCACCUCGAUGUCGGCUCAUCGCAUCCUGGGGCUGUAGUCGGUCCCAAGGGUUGGGCUGUUCGCCCAUUAAAGCGGUACGCGAGCUGGGUUCAGAACGUCGUGAGACAGUUCGGUCCCUAUCUGUUGCGGGCGCAGGAAUAUUGAGAGGAGCUGUCCUUAGUACGAGAGGACCGGGAUGGACGUACCGCUGGUGCACCAGUUGUUCUGCCAAGGGCAUAGCUGGGUAGCUAAGUACGGACGAGAUAAACGCUGAAGGCAUCUAAGCGUGAAACUCCCCUCGAGAUAAGUGUUCCCAUCCUUCGGGAGUAAGGCCCCUUGUAGACUACAAGGUUGAUAGGUCAGGAGUGGAAGUGCAGUAAUGUAUGGAGCGGACUGAUACUAAUAGGCCGAGGGCUUGACCUU
This 1006-nucleotide ribosomal RNA is filed under the name human gut metagenome. RNAcentral's name for it is "bacterial LSU rRNA". It matches the Rfam family "Bacterial large subunit ribosomal RNA", at positions 1920 to 2925 of the family's 2925-position model. The record is from RNAcentral.